GGGGGUGUCGUCCAAUGGCUAGGACGGCGGUCUCCAAAACCGCUGAUCUAGGUUCGAGUCCUAGCACCCCCG
RNAcentral lists this transfer RNA (72 nucleotides) under Elusimicrobiota bacterium. RNAcentral describes it as "Elusimicrobia bacterium (groundwater metagenome) tRNA-Trp". It matches the Rfam family "tRNA". From Rfam's summary of the family: Transfer RNA (tRNA) molecules are approximately 80 nucleotides in length. Their secondary structure includes four short double-helical elements and three loops (D, anti-codon, and T loops). Lineage: Bacteria; Pseudomonadati; Elusimicrobiota. The record is from RNAcentral.